GUCUUAUUGAUUAAAAUAAUAAGUUUAUUCUGCCCAUUGAAAUUAAUUUUAAAAGGCUGCAGUAUAUUAACUGUACAAAGGUAGCAAAAUCAAUAGUUUUUUAAUUGAAAACUUGAAUGAAAGAAUUAAUAAAAUAUAUUCUGUCUCAGAUUUAAUUUAUAAAAUUUAAAUAAAAAGUUAAAAUGCUUUUAUUAAUUUAUUAGACGAUAAGACCCUAAGAAUUUAAUAAAAUUAAUUUAUUAUUUAAUUUUGUGAAUAUAUAAAAAAUUAAAUUAAUUUUUUUUUAUUGGGAGGGUAAUUAAAUUUAUUAACUUUAAUUAUUAAUUAACAUUGAUAAAUGAUUAAUUUAUGAUAAUAUUAAUAAUUAUAAGAAUAAAUUACCUUAGGGAUAACAGCGUAAUAAUUUUGGAGAGUUCAUAUUAAUAAAAUUGAUUGCGACCUCGAUGUUGAAUUAAAAUAAAAAUUAAGUGAAGAAGCUUAAAAUUUUAGUCUGUUCGACUAUUAAAAUUUUACA
This 514-nucleotide ribosomal RNA is filed under the name Polistes japonicus. RNAcentral's name for it is "partial 16S ribosomal RNA". The stretch from base 388 to 514 matches the Rfam family "Bacterial large subunit ribosomal RNA", at positions 2473 to 2600 of the family's 2925-position model. The record is from RNAcentral. Lineage: Eukaryota; Metazoa; Arthropoda; Insecta; Hymenoptera; Vespidae.